GACGAACGCUGGCGGCGUGCUUAACACAUGCAAGUCGAACGGAAAGGCCCUGCUUUUGUGGGGUGCUCGAGUGGCGAACGGGUGAGUAACACGUGAGUAACCUGCCCUUGACUUUGGGAUAACUUCAGGAAACUGGGGCUAAUACCGGAUAGGAGCUCCUGCUGCAUGGUGGGGGUUGGAAAGAUUCGGCGGUUGGGGAUGGACUCGCGGCUUAUCAGCUUGUUGGUGGGGUAGUGGCUUACCAAGGCUUUGACGGGUAGCCGGCCUGAGAGGGUGACCGGCCACAUGGGGACUGAGAUACGGCCCAGACUCCUACGGGAGGCAGCAGUGGGGAAUAUUGCACAAUGGGCGGAAGCCUGAUGCAGCAACGCCGCGUGCGGGAUGACGGCCUUCGGGUUGUAAACCGCUUUCGCCUGUGACGAAGCGUGAGUGACGGUAAUGGGUAAAGAAGCACCGGCUAACUACGUG
This 468-nucleotide ribosomal RNA is filed under the name uncultured bacterium. Its description in RNAcentral is "partial 16S ribosomal RNA". It matches the Rfam family "Bacterial small subunit ribosomal RNA", at positions 28 to 507 of the family's 1533-position model. The record is from RNAcentral.